Molecule: microRNA precursor, 59 nt
Filed under: Columba livia (rock pigeon)
Lineage: Eukaryota; Metazoa; Chordata; Aves; Columbiformes; Columbidae
Also listed under: 1 other name
Description: Cli-Mir-10-P2c_pre stem-loop
Rfam family: mir-10 microRNA precursor family
About the family: In this case the mature sequence comes from the 5' arm of the precursor. The extents of the hairpin precursors are not generally known and are estimated based on hairpin prediction.
Source: RNAcentral
AACCCGUAGAUCCGAUCUUGUGUUGAAACGCACUGCACAAGCUCGCUUCUAUGGGUCUG